GAAAUGCGAUAAGUAAUGUGAAUUGCAGAAUUCAGUGAAUCAUCGAAUCUUUGAACGCACAUUGCGCCCGCCAGCAUUCUGGCGGGCAUGCCUGUCCGAGCGUCAUUUCAACCCUCAGGGCCCCUUCGGGGGCGCUGGUGUUGGGGAUCGGCCCGCCUCCGGGCGGCGCCGUCCCCGAAAUACAGUGGCGGUCUCGCUGCAGCCUCCCCUGCGUAGUAGCAUACACUCGCAUGCGGAGCGCGGCGCGGCCACGCCGUGAAACCCCCCACUUCUGAACGUUGACCUCGGAUCAGGUAGGAAUACCCGCUGAACUUAA
This 316-nucleotide unclassified non-coding RNA is filed under the name uncultured Alfaria. RNAcentral's name for it is "sequence contains ITS1". The stretch from base 1 to 105 matches the Rfam family "5.8S ribosomal RNA", at positions 50 to 154 of the family's 154-position model. Lineage: Eukaryota; Fungi; Ascomycota; Sordariomycetes; Hypocreales; Stachybotryaceae. The record is from RNAcentral.